Molecule: long non-coding RNA, 434 nt
Filed under: Homo sapiens (human)
Lineage: Eukaryota; Metazoa; Chordata; Mammalia; Primates; Hominidae
Description: HSALNT0186302
Source: RNAcentral
GGUUCAAGUUGCUGGUGAUUAAAAAAAAAAAAAUUAGAAACAGAAAGAAAACUGCUUAGCUUUUAUUUCCUGUGUACUGAAUACCAAUUUAAAUCAGCCAUCCUGCCAGGCAUGAGCCACUGUACCCGGCUAGCAGGAAGUGAUUUUUCAAAAGAUGUAGGAAGAAUAAGGUGAAAUUUGCAAGAGGAAACAGGAAAUGUAAAAAAAUAUAAAAAGUUUACCACAAUUUUAUGAAUUUUUAGUACCCAGCAUAUACUUGGUACUUGGGAUAUAAAUGAGUAAGGUGUUUUGUUUACACUUUCCAGAUGUGGGCACAGGAAGAGCAUAGUGACAUUAGCGUAAUUUCUAUACAGUGUGAAGUGCCCUGUUGGAGGUACGCCUGGAGUAAUGUGGAAGCACAGAGAGCACUUGACCCACCUCUAGAGCAUUCAGGC